Molecule: ribosomal RNA, 468 nt
Filed under: uncultured bacterium
Lineage: Bacteria
Description: partial 16S ribosomal RNA
Rfam family: Bacterial small subunit ribosomal RNA
Source: RNAcentral
GACGAACGCUGGCGGCGUGCUUAACACAUGCAAGUCGAACGGAAAGGCACUGCUUUUGUGGGGUGCUCGAGUGGCGAACGGGUGAGUAACACGUGAGUAACCUGCCCUUGACUUUGGGAUAACUUCAGGAAACUGGGGCUAAUACCGGAUAGGAGCUCCUGCUGCAUGGUGGGGGUUGGAAAGUUUCGGCGGUUGGGGAUGGACUCGCGGCUUAUCAGCUUGUUGGUGGGGUAGUGGCUUACCAAGGCUUUGACGGGUAGCCGGCCUGAGAGGGUGACCGGCCACAUUGGUACUGAGAUACGGCCCAGACUCCUACGGGAGGCAGCAGUGGGGAAUAUUGCACAAUGGGCGGAAGCCUGAUGCAGCAACGCCGCGUGCGGGAUGACGGCCUUCGGGUUGUAAACCGCUUUCGCCUGUGACGAAGCGUGAGUGACGGUAAUGGGUAAAGAAGCACCGGCUAACUACGUG